Molecule: long non-coding RNA, 12362 nt
Filed under: Capsicum annuum
Lineage: Eukaryota; Viridiplantae; Streptophyta; Magnoliopsida; Solanales; Solanaceae
Description: long non-coding RNA (CANN_LNC019292)
Source: RNAcentral
CGAUACCAUCGAUCCUAUUAUGUUGGAAAAUCUUGUCGUUGUGGCGCUGCGACAUCCAAAAGGCGACGCCUUUGCGAGAGAGGGGAAAAGGCGACAAUGGCGUUGCCUUUUUAAUUUCUUUUAAAAAAAUUAGGGCUUUAGGGAUAAAAGCUAAUUUUAGGGCUUAUUUUCCUAUUUUGGCUCUACCAACUUACUCAUUUGGCGCCUGUGGCUACUACCAUUACCAUCUCACAAGUUCGAUGUCGAUUUCGACAACUGGCAUUAGCUACUCCGGAGACUCCAGCUACUCCGGUAAGGAUUGAUUUCUAUUAUUUUUUUCUUUUUUCUUUUUCUUCUUAAUCCGACGAUUGAACUCUAGCUACUUUUUUUUCUUUUUUUCUCUUCUAUUUUUCUUCCUUUGAAACAGUAAUACAGUGUUACACUGUCACUAUAACAAUACAAUAACACACCUAGUAUAUUCCAACCAAGUGGGGUCUGGGGAGGGUAAGUGUACCCAGUCAUAUCACUACCUCAAAUAUGAGAUAGAGAGGUUGUUUUCGAUAGACCCCCGGCUCAAAAUAAAGCAAUCUAAGAUAAUAUAAGGAAUAGUAAUAGAACAAGAUACAAUUGAAAUUAAUAUAUUCAAUAAUAUCAAAAGCAAGAUACUCUAAGUAUACACCAAAACAUACAACAUCCUAAUUCAGACUAACCUUCUACACUAAUUCCCCUCCUCCACAACAACUUUCUAUCCAGGGUCAUGUCCUCGAUAAGCUAAAUAUGCUCCAUGUCAUGUCUAAUCACCUCCCUCCAAUAUUUCUUCGGUCUACCUCUACCUUGCUUGAAAUCAUCCCUAGCCAACCUCUCACACCUCCGCACUAGGGCAUCCGUGCUCCUCCGCAUCACAUGACCGAACCAUCUCAACCUCGUUUCCCUCAUCUUAACUUCCACUGAAGCCACUCCCACCUUAUCUCGAAUAACCUCAUUUUUAAUUCUAUCUUUUCUAGUACACCCACAUAUCCACUGAAGCAUCUCAUCUCCGCCACCUUCAUCUUCUGGAUGUGGGUUUUCUAACAGGCCAACACUCCGCCCCAUACAACACUGUCACUGUAACAGUAAGCAUAAAUGUAUUAUGUACAAAAAUCUUUAGUUUAACAACUUAUAUAACAUAGUAUGAUAGUAAUAUACUAAUUAAAUGACUUGAUCAUUUACAACUAUUUCAAUUUUAAUGGCGUUUUCGUAUUGCUUGUUUUAUGGAUAUUGAAUUGUUGAGUUAUUCAAGUUCUGGACUUUUAGUAUCUAUCUACUAUCUAUUUUUAAUUCUUGACUUGAAAUAUUUUCUAAUCUAUUAGCGGUAUUGAAAUUUUAAUCAUUUAUAUAUUAUUUUAAUUUUUUGUAUUAAUUAUCGCCGCACUUCAAAAGGCGAUCGCCUCGCCGCAUGGCGGGACCGUCGCCUCUUAUCGCCUUUCGCCGUCCAAAACACAUACCACCUAUAUUGCUUUGAUUCCGAAGAAGGAAAGUGCAAAAGAAUUGAAAGAUUUUAGACCAAUAAGCUUGAUAGGCAGUUUCUAUAAGUAAUUGUCUAAAGUUGACUGAGAGAAUUAAAGGAGUGAUGGAUAAAUUGGUAGACUCACAACAAAUGGCUUUUAUCAGAGGCAUGCAAAUCAUGGAUGUUGUGCUAAUAGUAAAUGAAGCUGUAGAUUCAAGAUUGAUCCUAAAAAAAGCCUAGAAUUUUGUGCAAACUGGACAUUGAAAAAACGUACCAUGAUGUUAAUUGGGAGUUAUUUCUAAAUAUCCUAAGAAUAAUGAGUUUUGGGGAUAAGUGGAUCAGAUGAAUAAGCUUUUGUAUCUCAACUGUGAAAUUUUUUGUUCUUAUUAACGGAGCCCCAGAAGGUUUUUUCGAAGCACAAAGAGGAAUCACAAGGGAUCCUUUAUGUCCUUUCUUUUUCAUCUUUCAUGGAGGGUCUGAACAACAUCCUCAAGACAACAAAAGCAAAUAGAUGGAUCACUGGUUUUGAGGUAUCCACAAACAAUGAGAGGAGUCUAAAGGUGACACGUCUUCAAUAUGCAGAUGACACUAAUUUUUUGUGAUGCAAAUGAGGAGCAACUACAAUAUUUAAGGGUCAUUCUGGUACUAUUUAAAGGUAUUUCAGGUCCACAUCAAUUGGGGAAAGAGCCACCUAUGUCCUGUAAACUCCGUUCCUAACAUGAAUGAGUUGACAUCUGUGUUAGGCGGUGACGUAGGAGUAUUGCGCUCUAUUUAUCUCGGGAUGCCUUUUGGGGCAAAGUCAAAUUCUUAACAUAUUUGGGACUCAGUUUUGGAGAAAUGUGAGAAGAAGUUAACUAGAUGGAAGGCACAAUAAUGGUCCAUGGGGGCAGGCUUACACUGAUCAAUGCAGUCCCGGAUGCCCUCCCCACUUACAUGCUAACUUUAUUUCCAAUCCCUACAGGUGUAGUACAAAGUCUGGACACACUCAGAAGGGAUUUUUUCUGGCAAGGUAACAAGAAAAGAAAAGGUUUUAAAGUGGAAAAGUAUUGAUUACUGGGAAAAAACAAAGAGGUCUAGGCAUUAAAACUUGAAAAAUCAAAGCAAGGCACCAAAAUUGAAGUGGUUAUGGAGAUAUAGUCACGAACCACAACCAUUGUGCUGCAAGGUGACCAACAUGAAGUAUGGAGAAAUGAAUUCUUGGGUUAUUGAAGAAGUACACAACCCAUAUGGUGUAACAGUAUGGAGAUCAAUCAGGAAUUGGUGGACUUUUCUAAAAAGUCACACCCUCAUCAGAGUCAAUGAUGGCAACAAAACAAGCUUUUGAAAAUAUAGUUGGUUGGGCAACAGAAGUUUAUUCGAAAUCUUCCCAGAUAUGCUUGACUUGGCACUUCAUAAAGGAAGAUCAAUGGCAGAAAUGUGGUCUCCGCAAGGUUGGAAUAUAUCUCUCAAAAGAAAUCUUAACGACUGGAAGUACAUAGGUUAGUUGAGCAUUUAAAACUGCUGGAAAUAUUCCAAGGGACGAAGGAAGGGGUGGACUGCUAAUGGGGGACUGAACAUAGCAAGAGGGUUUAAAAAGUGAGCUUAGGGUACACAAUCAUGAACUUGGACAUGUCACAGAGCCUGAACUGGUCUUGGUUGCAGAUCUGGAAGGCCAAGAUACCACUCAAGGUGGUAUGUUUCACUUGACUGUUAGCAAAAAAAGUUGGUUUGACGCAUGAGAACUUGAGGAAAAGGGACAUUAUUUUAGUGAUACAUUGUUGCCUUUGUGGGGAAACAGCUAAGACAGUGAGCCAUUUGUUCCUUCAUUGCAGAAUCACCGAUCAAUUAUGGAGGAUUUUCAUCAAUCUCACAGGCAUCCAUCCAAUGGACAAUACCUAGUAAGAUUAAAGCUGGGAAGAAGCAGAGAAGGGAGCAAAGAAUACAGGCUACUAGAGGAUUAUUCCAACAUGCAUUUGGUGGACCAUUUGGAAAGAAAAGAAUUCUAGGAGUUUUGAGGAUAAGAGUAGAUCCUUACAGAAGAUUAAAACAGAUUGUAUUCUGUUACUUUGUUUUUGGUGUACAAAGAGUCCCGUUAUAGAUGCAGAAGUAAUCCUAGAAGUUUUAGAUUCAUUAUAGGACUGAUAUUGUGUUUUUAUGAUUCACUACUUUCUUGUAAGGGUUUUCAGUACUACCUAAGUACUGGUUUUUAAUACAAAAUUGUUACUUCUCAAAAAAAUAAAUUAUAAAUAAGAAGACCCCCCCCCCAAACCACAAAAACUAAAAGAAGAUGCUCACCCAUACAGAAAGUACUCCUGCAGUGAAUCAAUAAAAUCUCACAUGCAAUUUUAUCAUACACACCCAGUAAACUGCAAGAAGAUGAUAACAAGCCAAAACAUCUGUAUUUUAUUAUCUAAAUUGAAUGAGUUCGGCCCUUAAAACACCUAAAGUUCCUCCCUAUCCAUCAUAUCCAACAAAAACAUACCGGGAUACUCCUCUACAUAAUAACAGAUCUAUGAAGCCUUCAAUUCCCACAACCAUCCAAUAAUAGUCCGAUAACUGUCGCACUAUCCAAUGCUGCCCCAAAAAUAUUGAUGAACAGUUCCCACAACUGUCUUGCAGUAGAUGGGCCAGGACAAUUUAAUUUUUUUAUUAAAAAAAACCAGGUAAUUUCAUAUAUUUCUCAAAACAGUACAUAGGCAGUACUAAGCCAUAUUUACAAGAAGCACAUCAAAUCCAUCUAUAUGAUCCUAAAUUGAGUCCAGUACAUCAAUUAGGGAGAUGUGUCAUUUGAGUAUAGCUGAUUACACUAAAAACAUAGUAGCAACAGGCAAUUAAGCUUGACUUUGUGCAUAUUGUUUUCAAUAUUAUCAACACAUCUGAAAUUCCUCUCCUUCCAUAUUGCCCACCAAAUGCUUGCAGGGACAAUUCUCCAUCUUUCUCUACUCUAAGACUGCCUUCCAACUUCUUCCUAACUCUGAAUGGCUUUAGUGAUCUUUCCGGGCAUGACCCAUUACAUGCAUUUGAGGUUAAGGAAUAGCUUCCAGAGCUGAAAAAUUACUUUGCAGUGUAGAAAAAGAUGGUUAAUUGUCUCAGCAGUCUCCCCACAAAAUAGGCACCUUGAACACAAUGGAUCCCUCUCCUCAUUAGGUUGUCUUGAGCCAAAACUGCUUCCUUACCUAAUAACCACACAAAACAAGACACUUUGUAUGGUUAUUUGGGUUUUAGAUUCUUUUCCAAGGUCAAUUACUUGUCACCUGGUUGGGGUGGUUCAAACAGUUAUAAGCACAAUUCACCUUGAAAAUACCCUUCUUGUUGCCCUUCCACCAUAAAGUAUCCAGACCCCCUAUAAGCCAUUGAGUAUACCAAUGGGGUAGUAAAAAUCAGCAACCCUCUGAAUCUCCAAUCAUUUAACUGGCUUCUUAAAAUGAAGUUCAAUCCUUGAGGAGACCAGUGAUCAGCUAUGAAGUUCAAUCCUUGAGGAGACCAGUGAUCAAUUAUGGACUUCUGAUGGUGUGAUACUAAGGUACGAAUGUCUGGAAACAAAUUUUCUAGCCUUUCUGCCUCAUGCCAUACAUCCUUCUAGAAGUCAGUUUAUUCCCAUUUGCCACUUUGAUCCUUGUAUUGUUUUUGAAUUCAUCCCACAAGGAUCUAAUGAACCUCCAUAAGCUUACUCCAUAAGGUGUACCCUUUCAUACUUUGCCCUGAUGAUUUCCUUCCAGUAGGAUUGGUUUUCAGGGCAAAACUUUCACAACCAUCUCAUUCUGAGAGCCUCACUCUGAUAUUUUAGGACAAUUCAACUUUAGACUUAUAAAGUUUACCAGAAUUUUAACUAUGGUUGGUAUGGAAUGAUUGAGUUUUGGAUUAUUCCGGAGGAAACCUUCAAUUAGGAGUUUCGUUUAAAAAAAGGAAGGAAACCUUCAACAAGUGUGUGGGAGGCAAGAGGGGACAAAAAACGACGAGGCUUGCUUCACCAAGGCGAGAAGCGAAGGAAUCGCCUUUUUGAUGUGAAGAGCCAAUAAAUACAAAGAAAAAUCAAAUAUUAAAUUUGCACAUAUAAAUAACUAAAAAUACAAUAUUAACAACAAAUUAAGCAAAAGAAUUAAGUUAUUAAUUAUCAUGCAACAAAAACUGGAAAAACAAAACUGAAAGAAAAAAGUUCAGUAAGAAGAUGCAGAAACUGAAGGAACCCAGAGGUGUAGCCUAGUGGUUCAAUGAAGUAGGCUGAGCACAAUGAGGUCUCAGGUUCAAUUCCCAACUGAGACGAACACUAGGUGAAUUCUUACCAUUUGUUCUAGUCUUGGUGGACAGAGUUGCCUAGUACCUAUUGCUAGUGCAAGGUGGCAGAUAUCCUGUGGAAUUAGUCGAGGUUAGCGCAAGUUGGCCUAGACACCACGGUUAUCAAAAAUAAAUGCAGAAGCAGAGGAUAAAGUCAGAAAACACAGAGGACAAAGGAAGGAAGAAAGAAAGAAGCUGUCGGAAAAUAAAGGAGAAAGAAAAAGAAGAAAAUAGAAAAAGAUGAACCUGAACCCUAGCUUCGACUAUCGUCUGACCGAAAAACAGAGAAAAAAGAAGAGAGAAGGUGCAUAGGAGUAGUAUAACUUAGACUGAAAUCCUAGUUCUCGAGUUGCGAUUGAAAAGUGAUGCUUUGCCUUGCCUUGCGGCCUCGUCGGCCUUUUCAGAUUGCUUCUCACCUCAGAGAAAAAAAGACAAAAACUGUCUACAUCGCCUCACCUCGCCAACAAAACUAAAUUCUUAUAAAUCUAAUAUUGUUCGGUCUUAGACUCUUAAUCUAUUACUAUAAUCCAUAUGAAAGCCACAAAAAUGUUUUAGGGAUUAAAAUGAUGUUUUUUUUUUUCAAAAUAAAACUAGUGCAAGUUCUCCCAACAUAAACAAUUAUUUUAAAGUCAACACUAAUUUCUCUAAAACCAAAUUUCAGACAGGAAAAAACAAACCAAAACAAAACUAGAACAAUUCUAAACCAAAUGCCACCAUUUACAAAGGGGUGCGUAGAUAAUUGAAGAUGGGAGUAAGGUCCCCCACCCCACCCUAAUUUCAAUUAGGAAACAAAUAGUUGAAGAAUCCUCAACAUUGUAACAAAUUGCCACACAAGUUUGAAUGGAGAUAAUUGAAAAUUAGGGGCCAAAUAACAACUUCACUCAAACACUGGAUGAUUUGAAUCAUAGAAAUUAUUGCUUUCUCACACCAGUAAUGAUAAGUAGUAGCAACUAGUAAGUAUUCCAAUUGUCCCAUUUUAUGUAAUACACUUCCCUUAUCUAUUUAUCUAUUUGUCUAAAAGAGAGUGACACCUUUCUUUUUGGAUACUAUUUAAUCUUAGCAUCCCUAUGUUACCCUCAAUGAAGACAUAAAUUGUUGGGACUCUCACAACUACUCAUUUAAAAUGUAGCAUAUGGAAUUCACAUCACCAAUGUUGCUCGAGCUCUUCACUUUCAGUGCCGCACCAUGACAUGGGUGUCGGAACCGUACCCGAUCUGGUCAACCGAUUUUGGGUACUUUGACCAGAAUCGAUGGAGAAACUCCGAACAGAUUCAAUAAUUUCUCUAGUCAAAAUAAAAGCUAAGGUAAAAUUGAAAAAAAUGAAAUAUCUUGUAUAUAGAAACUUUUAUGUCACUCCUUUUCCUUUUAUCUCCUUCUAUGAUUCUCGUCUUGAACAGUAUUUUCUCCUCAAGUUUGCCUCAUCGUAUCUCAUAAUUUAGGUUUAUAACUCUACUAUUAGAUAUUUGAAUUAUUGUUAUCCGAAUCCCCACACGCGUAAUAGUACCUGGAUCCGUAUCUAUGAUUCUUAAAGUUUAGGUCAUGAUGAAUCCCACCUCCAGAGUUAAUAAACAAAAGUUAACUAAACUCUACAUGCACCACCUAUCCGUGCUCCCGGCAUCUCCUUCUCCAGUCCAAUAAAAUUAAUAAAAUUGGAAGUUAUUACUAACUUUUUGACAAGGAUUAUAUUUCCAAUGGAACAACAACAACCUAUCCAGUAUGAUCCCACAAGUGGGGUCUGGGGAGGAUAAAGUGUACCCAGACCUUACCCUACAUCGGAAAGAUAGAGAGGUUGCUUCCGACCCUCGGCUCAUGUAAAGCAUCUCAAAACAGUUAAAUUUGACUCAAUUGUGCGAGCAAGAGAAAUUCCAAACAAAAGAGAUCCUUGUUCAAAACCCAAAAUCAUGCUAAUGUACGAACUGAAUCAACUAAAUCUCCUCUCAAUAUGGUCAGAAUGAUACACAACAUAUCAAAAGAACAACUGCCCUUUUCUCAAUAGUGUUUUAUGCAAGCUUCACAAAACCUCCCAGUUACCCCUUUAAAAUAAAUAAAGAAGUAAAACUUCACAUGGCCGAAACUGAAACUCAACAACCUGAUGUCAGAUUAUGAAGUGAUGGCAUUACAACAAAUUAAGAAAAAAUCAACAAACUCCCCAUCCCCUGGGCACGCUGUGGUCAUACGCCCAAGUUCUCCUUUACCCAGAAAGAGUACAACAGCAAAAUACAAAAACUAACGCCAACAACGUAAUCCCAGAUGUACCAAAAUCUGUUAUUUUCUUGAUUCAAUGAGGCAAAAAAAGCAACCCAUCAACAUUCAAGUUAUUAAACAAAGAGAACCAUCCUUGUCGAAUGUUUAAAAAAUAACACAGGGAAAUAAAGCAGUAACUAUCCAAAUAAGAUCCAAAAUAGAGGAUAAAAGGAAUAUAAAUUUCUAACCCAUAAGUUCCUUCUCCGAUUUGUUCAAGCUUUUCAAAGCAUUCGAUACUUCUCGAACCCCAUAAUGGCGAUUCAUCAAGAUUCAGCUGACCAAAAGCAGCCACCGCCAUGUAUGAUGUCUGUACUUUCCUCUCUUCCUCCUCUGUGAUUGGCUAUUAAACAAACAGUGAUUGGUGUGGGGGCGUAGAGUUGAUACAGAGGAGGACCGCUAAUGGAGGCGGCUUCGGAUUACUUUGUAAACUACUCCAUCAACUUGUGGUUUUUUUUUUUUUCACAAAACUAUUGAACAAAAAUGGCGUUGUUUGUGUCCAAGAGAACUUACGAAGGGCUUUUUGUUAAUUUAACAUACAAUGAGGGAUUGUUUUGCCACUUGAAUUAGAUUUUGUAUUGUAAAAAAAUGCCUAAUACCGGUGAAACAUUUCAUAAUUAAGUUUGAAAUAAGAUUUAUAUUAUUAUUUGUUCAUGCUUGGACAGUAUAAUUUGUAUUUCAUCUUUAGAGUAGAAUAAAUUAGUCUAAAAAUUAUUAUAUAAUCUGCAUAACGCCUUAAAGUUCACAUAACUAUCUCAACUAAGAUUUGUACUCAAUAAGGUAUUUCAAUCUUACUAUAUACUCAUAUUGACAUAGUAGAAAUUAGCAACUGAACAAAAGCCACAUUUUUUACUUAAGCGGGUUGUGGGCAACGAAAUUUUAUUAAAUUAAAAUUCGUACGAAAUUCGAAUUAUAUUAAAUUCAAAAUAUAUUAGUCUCAAAUAAAUAUUGCAGAUUAAUAUAAUUGAAUUAAUUAUUUAUAUCCAAACAUGUAUGUAUUUAAUUAAAGUUCAAUUUUUAUUGGGCUAGCCCAUUAAUUUAGGCUACAGAUGAUGAGUCUACUUUGUUAAGCCCAAGAUAUUGUCAUAUUCUGAAGGCUCAAAUGAGCGCCACGGUCGAAUGACGUGGCAUGCCAAGUUAAGUGAAGGAGCCAAUAGGACCAAGCCACAUGUCAAAAUGAUGCAUCAGGUCUAGUGAAAUAAAAAACCCAUGAAAGACGGCAUGUUACUUGAAUUUGAUUGGUCAAAAGAAAUUCAUCUUUACCAUUACUCUCCCCUUUCCACAACUAUAAAUAAGGGUCUCACAAUUCAAAAAAAGAACCAAGAACUCUAACAAGAAACAAGAGAAAGCUCGUAGAUCAAACACCACAAUUUUUCUACAAAGCUCAAGCAUUCAAAUCUAGUUCAUCAAGGUUAAAGAUCAAGACGAUAAGAUUCAAGAACAAGCUAAAAAGCCCUUGAAUUCAAGUACAAGUCAAGAUCAAAUCCAAUCUUGAAGCCCCUGAAUUUAUAUUUGAAAAGGAGAAAUCAGCGGAUUCAUAGAUAUUGUAGCGUUCAUAUAUUGAAAUCAAUAAAAUGAUUGUUGCAAUACUUUUCUUCUCUCGAAUAUUUAUUUUUUUAUCUCAAAAAUUUUACUGUCCAAUAAAUUCUGGCACGCCCAGUGGAACGAUCUCUACCUCUCAUCUCAACUUUUCCAACAUCAAAGUUUAAGAACAAUAAAAUAACUUCCAAAAAGGUCAAUUUUCAAUCAAUUGCCUCCAAGGUUGUUGAUUCCAAAUUCUCUGCUGAAGUAGAAAGCAUCCUUGGUAUUAUUUUUGGGAGCUUUGGAGCUGUCACAAGGAACAAGAUGAACAUUCUAGGACAACAAAUACAUCAAGUGUUAUUUGCGGCAACUCCAAUCUUUGGAUCUUCAACCCCAAAAGGAGAAAGGGCCUGUGCAAAUGUUUUAGAAGAAGAAAGCAAUAUGGCAGAGUCACUUAAGAAGACUCUAGCUCUACUUGAGCACUCUAGUUCGAGAUACUUGGGCACAAAGAAUAUUAGUCAUUCAACUAUUGCAUCAUCUCCACUUACACCGCAUAAACUAAGAACUUCGAAGAUUAACUUAUGCGAUAAUCUGUGUUACUCUCCAACGUCUUCAGUGAUUAUGCAAGCCAUGGUGACUGAUGCAUCAUCUGUGGUAGAGCAGCUUGCAAACCUGACGAAGGUAAAGGUCUCACUAAGUAUGUGCAAAAUCAAAAUGCUCGGAUUGAUAAGUUGGCGGAUAGGAUGAAUGGCUUAGUAGACGGAGAGUCUAGCCAUGCACCGGGGCAAUCUCCAGGAGGUUGGUAAUGUUCACCUAUACCAUCUAAAGUGGUAGAGGACGAUCGUUGUCAAUAGCUUAACUUUCAUUGAGGUCGAAUUCAUGACGAGCGAGAUUUAGAUUUCGAGUCCUAUGGGUGUCAAAAUUACUAAAAAGAAACCCAAAGUGUACACGACAUAAAACACAUAAAUUAAAAUGGAGGGGGUUUAGUUUAUAAUAGGGUUGUCAAUAUCAAGUCAAGAAACACACUAUGGUAACACUUUUAUUUUAAAUUUAAUUUUUGUAGGAAUCUUAGGAUUAUGUCUACCUAAGGGCAAGUUGUGCCUGGGAUCAUGAUGGUUUGGUGUAAGUUCUAAUCGUUGAUGACAUGGUAAGCUAGGUUGAGAAUCCUUGAGGCUAGUUUGUCAACAAGGCCUUAAGGAUGUCACUCCUUAACUCUUUCGAGUACCUAACGAGUGUAUCAAUGAAAGCCACCCAAAACCUCAAUUAGGCAUCCUUAUCUCUGGGAAGAUACCCAUGACGUAACCUACUCUCCAUUUAUCCUUAUUUCUAAGAAGGCAAAACAUAGUAAGCUACGUGCUCAAUUGUCCACUAUUGCUUUGUCCCCCUAUAGCCCUCUUUCAAGUAUGAUAUGGGUUUCCCAAAGUUCACCCGCAUCCUUCUUUACAGAAUGAUAAGAGCUUUCAAGAGUCUGGGGUUUUCACUUAACAAAUCCAUUUUGGAUACUUGGGUUUUCAUCCACAAAUCCCAAUUAUUUACACCAAGCAAUAGUGAAAUCCAUAAUAAACAACUAAGAUUUACGCAAACACAUCAUCACCCGAACACAAAUGCACCUUAGUUUAACAUAAUCCCAAGACUAAAGGAUUUAGCUACCCAUGAAGAAAAGAGAGAAAAAUAUACCAUACGGGUUGUUCAAGGCAUCCAUUUCUCCAAAUCAAAUUACAAUUCUUGCCCAAUUUAGGGUUAAAAUUCAAAUUCCAAAAUGUUUCAAUAGUCUAGAAUGCCCAAAAGAGAAAGGAUUUAAGCCUAUAAGAGGAAUUGGGUUUAGCUGGAUGAAGUUACAAAACUGCCUUUAGGCAAAUUCCCGCUUAGCUGCGAUCGCAAAAGCUUGUUUGCAAUCACAGUUAUUGAGAUCGUGGUAAGGACACCGUGAUCGCAGCCUUUUGACCUAUUUGAUUGCCGCGAUCGCGGUAACUGAGGCUUAUUUUUACUUCAGGUUUUGUAGCUGCACUUCUUUCUCUUUUUUGGUCUCUCUCAAAUCCAUAUCUUUUAUUCUCCUAAUCUGUAUACCUGCAAAAUGUGGAAAUUAGUGCAUUUAAUAACUAAUUUAUCUCACUUAUACAUUUGAAUCAUAGUAGUAUGCACGAUUGUUGAGUAUAAUUGAGUGGUAAAUUCACCACUCAUCAAAGGUCAUGAGACAGAACAUCUUGAAAAACAAACGCCACCAGCUAAGAAGGUAUAAGUUUCUUCUGAGGAAAUGAUCCCAAUUGAUCUGUUGAAAGAGUUUAUUGAAGAAACCCUCAAAGAUAAGUAUGAUAUUGUCACUAAGUUGAUAUUGUCACUAAGUUUUUCUUGACAUACUCCAAGCCUUACACUACAAGAAUUGAUAGCCUCAAAAUGCCUCUCGAUUAUCAACCCCCUAAAUUUCAACAAUUUGAGGGAAACCAGAACCUAAAAUAAUAUGUUGUAUACUUUGUUGAGACAUGUAAUAAUGCUGGAACUUACGAUGACUAUCUUAUCAAACAAUUUGUUUGUUCCCUAAAGGAAAACACCUUCGAUUGGUAUAUGGACCUUGAGCCUAACUCUAUCAAUAGAUGGGAGAAAUUAGAGCAUGAAUUCUUGAAUCUCUUUUAUAGCACAAGGUGUACAGUGAGCAUAAUAGAGCUUACAAAUACUUGACAAAGAAAGGAUGAGCCAGUCAUUGCCUUUAUUAAUCGGUGGAGAAAUGCAAGUCUAAACUGCAAAGACAGGCUUAGUGAAACUUCUGCAAUAAAGAUGUGCAUCCAACGAAUGCACUGGAAACCUCUCUAUAUCUUGUAAGGCAUUAAGCCAAAAUCCUUCGAAGAGCUAGUUACUCGUGCUCACGAUAUGGAGUUGAGCAUGU